GAUGAACGCUGGCGGCGUGCCUAAUACAUGCAAGUCGAGCGAACAGACGAGGAGCUUGCUCCUCUGACGUUAGCGGCGGACGGGUGAGUAACACGUGGAUAACCUACCUAUAAGACUGGGAUAACUUCGGGAAACCGGAGCUAAUACCGGAUAACAUGUUGAACCGCAUGGUUCAACAGUGAAAGACGGUCUUGCUGUCGCUUAUAGAUGGAUCCGCGCCGCAUUAGCUAGUUGGUAAGGUAACGGCUUACCAAGGCAACGAUGCGUAGCCGACCUGAGAGGGUGAUCGGCCACACUGGAACUGAGACACGGUCCAGACUCCUACGGGAGGCAGCAGUAGGGAAUCUUCGGCAAUGGGCGAAAGCCUGACGGAGCAACGCCGCGUGAGUGAAGAAGGUCUUCGGAUCGUAAAACUCUGUUAUUAGUGAAGAACAAAUGUGUAAGUAACUAUGCACGUCUUGACGGUACCGAAUCAGAAAGCCACGGCUAACUACGUG
RNAcentral lists this ribosomal RNA (497 nucleotides) under uncultured bacterium. Its description in RNAcentral is "partial 16S ribosomal RNA". It matches the Rfam family "Bacterial small subunit ribosomal RNA", at positions 28 to 507 of the family's 1533-position model. The record is from RNAcentral.